GGGGGUGUACCGGUUUCGACGGGGAUGAUGAAACUUAAACAGCGGGUAGUUGUGCGGAGCAACUCUAAAAUCCGUAAAAUUUAAAAUUAAACGCUAACGAUAAUUUAGCUUACGCUGCCUAAUUACGGCAGCCGUCAAUCUCAGGAAUACCACGGCUUGAGAAUUGGCGUCGAUCAGUGGUGAACGUGAGUACGCAACGCUUCUGCCGUACCAUGAAUAAGAAGCUACCGAAUAUUAUAGGUUGAGUACGGCCGAUAAUACAAGGGAAUCUUAAAACAUACUCUGCACCCGGAGAAGUUUUUGUGAAUUUGUUUUCGGACAGGGGUUCGACUCCCCUCACCUCCACCA
This 348-nucleotide transfer-messenger RNA is filed under the name Clostridia. RNAcentral describes it as "CAKVOK01 sp934792465 Standard tmRNA". It matches the Rfam family "transfer-messenger RNA". From Rfam's summary of the family: Bacterial tmRNA, also known as 10Sa RNA or SsrA, is named for its dual tRNA and mRNA-like properties. Its role is to liberate the mRNA from a stalled ribosome. To accomplish this part of the tmRNA is used as a reading frame that ends in a translation stop signal. Lineage: Bacteria; Bacillati; Bacillota. RNAcentral also lists the same sequence under 1 other name. The record is from RNAcentral.